GGGGUAAAAAAUUAUUAAUAAAAUAAGUUCAGGGGGGUAAUAGGACCUUAGUAUAGUAUAAAUGUGUCUCUGAUAUUUCGGGCAUAGAUUGAGGGGGUACUUGGCCAUUAUCCCUUAAAAUGUAGAGAGAAGAAGAAAUGGUGGAUGCUUAUGGAAGUUGUCAAUCACAACUUUCUCAGUCUGUUGGAUUGCUCAAACAACUACUCCCUAAAUAUGUGUAGAGAGAAGAAAAAAUGGGGAAUGAUAAUGGGAGUCAUCAAUCACAACUUCCUCAGUUUACUAGAUUGCUCAAACAACUGCUCCCUAAAUAGGGUAUGAACAAGUUCUGUGUUUUUUGAUAGUUUAUAUUAAAUUAGGAGGGAAAAUAAUUUUUCAAAAUUAUUUUUCGUGUUGCUUUGAAAUUGAAUUGUAAUUAUCACUUAGAUUGCUAAAAAAUAUAACGCAAAUUAUUUUUGAUUUUUCAUUGAUUACAAAACUACAUCUAAACAUCUUGAAUAGUUCCAAUUGUAGAUUGAUGAAUGAUGAGAUUUUGAAGAAAGAGAAAUACAUUGAAAGUUAG
Solanum lycopersicum (tomato) is the source of this 559-nucleotide long non-coding RNA. RefSeq lists it as uncharacterized. NCBI's taxonomy places the organism in Eukaryota, Viridiplantae, Streptophyta, Magnoliopsida, Solanales, Solanaceae. The record is from RefSeq and is a predicted model, not a curated record.